GUGGGGAAUAUUGGGCAAUGGGCGAAAGCCUGACCCAGCAACGCCGCGUGAAGGAAGAAGGUCUUCGGAUCGUAAACUUCUAUCCUUGGUGAAGAUAAUGACGGUAGCCGAGAAGGAAGCCCCGGCUAACUACGUGCCAGCAGCCGCGGUAAUACGUAGGGGGCAAGCGUUGUCCGGAAUGAUUGGGCGUAAAGGGCGCGUAGGCGGCCUGGUAAGUCUGGAGUGAAAGUCCUGCUUUUAAGGUGGGAAUUGCUUUGGAUACUGGCGGGCUUGAGUGCAGGAGAGGUAAGUGGAAUUCCCGGUGUAGCGGUGAAAUGCGUAGAGAUCGGGAGGAACACCAGUGGCGAAGGCGACUUACUGGACUGUAACUGACGCUGAGGCGCGAAAGUGUGGGGAGCAAACAGGAUUAGAAACCCCUGUAGUCC
RNAcentral lists this ribosomal RNA (425 nucleotides) under uncultured bacterium. Its description in RNAcentral is "partial 16S ribosomal RNA". It matches the Rfam family "Bacterial small subunit ribosomal RNA", at positions 354 to 796 of the family's 1533-position model. The record is from RNAcentral.